GAUGAACGCUAGAGGUAGGCUUAACACAUGCAAGUCGAGGGGUAUAGGCUUUCGGGCCUAGAGACCGGCGCACGGGUGCGUAACGCGUAUGCAAUCUGCCUUACACUAAGGGAUAGCCCAGAGAAAUUUGGAUUAAUACCUUAUAGUAUAUUGAUGUGGCAUCACAAUGAUAUUAAAGAUCUAUCGGUGUAAGAUGAGCAUGCGUCCCAUUAGCUAGUUGGUGUGGUAACGGCAUACCAAGGCAAUGAUGGGGAGGGGUCCUGAGAGGGUGAUCCCUCAUCCGAGAACCGGGGCACGGACCAGACUCCUACGGGAGGGAGCAGUUAGGAAUAUUGGACAAUGGGCGCAAACCUGGUCCAGCCAUGCCGCGUGCAGGAUGACGGUCCUAUGGAUUGUAAACUGCUUUUGUACGGGAAGAAACACUCCUACGUGUAGGAGCUUGACGGUACCGUAAGAAUAAGGAUCGGCUAACUCCGUGCCAGCCGCCGCCGUAA
Molecule: ribosomal RNA, 494 nt
Filed under: uncultured bacterium
Lineage: Bacteria
Description: partial 16S ribosomal RNA
Rfam family: Bacterial small subunit ribosomal RNA
Source: RNAcentral